This 451-nucleotide long non-coding RNA is filed under the name Physcomitrium patens. Its description in RNAcentral is "long non-coding RNA (PPAT_LNC006197)". Lineage: Eukaryota; Viridiplantae; Streptophyta; Bryopsida; Funariales; Funariaceae. The record is from RNAcentral.
GUGUUCGUAGGUUUGUGGAUGAAUGAUGCUGGUGGUGCCGCAGCGCCGUCAUCUUCAGCAGGUCUCAAGGAGUGCGAGGGAGUUGUGCGUAUUAUUUUAGUGUCUUCUCAAAAUUACAAUCCUUCAGCAUCAGAGGAAUGUAAUAUGAAUUCCCAUUCAUCACACAAAUGCAUGCUUCCUACACUGACUUUCAAAUUAUUUUCAAAGUUCAUAAAGUUUGUAAUUACUAUUUUUCCAAUAAUGAUCUUAGUACAAGUGUGUGAUGAAUUGAAAUAAAUGUAGUGGGUUUUGAAUUCUCUAUGUGUUUAAAACAGCACUUAGAGUUUGUAUUAGUUUGUAUUGGUUUGUGUUUCAAACUAGUAUGCACUAAAAGGUCACUACACUUUCGAACAAACAAAACUGACAAAACUUCUAUUUUAAAUUUUCAUAUGAUGGUUACAUUCAUAUAUAC